AGAGUUUGAUCAUGGCUCAGGAUGAACGCUAGCGGCAGGCCUAACACAUGCAAGUCGAGGGGUAACAUAGGAAAGCUUGCUUUUCUGAUGACGACCGGCGCACGGGUGCGUAACGCGUAUACAACCUACCUUUUAGCGGGGAAUAGCCCAGGGAAACUUGGAUUAAUGCCCCAUAGUAUAUAGACUUCUCCUGAAGUUUAUAUUAAACAUUUAUGGCUAUUAGAUGGGUAUGCGUCCUAUUAGUUAGUUGGUAAGGUAACGGCUUACCAAGGCAGCGAUAGGUAGGGGUCCUGAGAGGGAGAUCCCCCACACUGGUACUGAGACACGGACCAGACUCCUACGGGAGGCAGCAGUGAGGAAUAUUGGACAAUGGGCGAGAGCCUGAUCCAGCCAUACCGCGUGCAGGAAGACUGCCCUAUGGGUUGUAAACUGCUUUUACAGAGGAAGAACCACUCCCACGUGUGGGAGUUUGACGGUACUCUGCGAAUAAGGAUCGGCUAACUCCGUGCCAGCAGCCGCGGUAAUACGGAGGAUCCAAGCGUUAUCCGGAAUCAUUGGGUUUAAAGGGUCCGUAGGCGGGCAGUUAAGUCAGUGGUGAAAGUCUUCCGCUCAACGGGAGAACUGCCAUUGAUACUGAUUGUCUUGAGUUAUUAUGAAGUGGUUAGAAUGAGUAGUGUAGCGGUGAAAUGCAUAGAUAUUACUCAGAAUACCGAUUGCGAAGGCAGAUCACUAAUAAUAUACUGACGCUGAUGGACGAAAGCGUAGGUAGCGAACAGGAUUAGAUACCCUGGUAGUCUACGCCGUAAACGAUGGUUACUAGCUGUUCGGCCCAAUUGAGGGCUGAGUGGUUAAGCGAAAGUGAUAAGUAACCCACCUGGGGAGUACGUUCGCAAGAAUGAAACUCAAAGGAAUUGACGGGGGCCCGCACAAGCGGUGGAGCAUGUGGUUUAAUUCGAAGCAACGCGCAGAACCUUACCAACCCUUGACAUCCUGUGCUAACCCGAGAGAUCGGGCGUCCACUUCGGUGGCGCAGUGACAGGUGCUGCAUGGCUGUCGUCAGCUC
RNAcentral lists this ribosomal RNA (1063 nucleotides) under uncultured bacterium. RNAcentral's name for it is "bacterial SSU rRNA". It matches the Rfam family "Bacterial small subunit ribosomal RNA", at positions 8 to 1061 of the family's 1533-position model. The record is from RNAcentral.